This 402-nucleotide ribosomal RNA is filed under the name uncultured Sphingomonas sp. RNAcentral's name for it is "bacterial SSU rRNA". It matches the Rfam family "Bacterial small subunit ribosomal RNA", at positions 355 to 774 of the family's 1533-position model. RNAcentral also lists the same sequence under 1 other name. Lineage: Bacteria; Pseudomonadati; Pseudomonadota; Alphaproteobacteria; Sphingomonadales; Sphingomonadaceae. The record is from RNAcentral.
UGGGGAAUAUUGGACAAUGGGCGAAAGCCUGAUCCAGCAAUGCCGCGUGAGUGAUGAAGGCCUUAGGGUUGUAAAGCUCUUUUACCCGGGAAGAUAAUGACUGUACCGGGAGAAUAAGCCCCGGCUAACUCCGUGCCAGCAGCCGCGGUAAUACGGAGGGGGCUAGCGUUGUUCGGAAUUACUGGGCGUAAAGCGCACGUAGGCGGUUUUGUAAGUUAGAGGUGAAAGCCUGGGGCUCAACUCCAGAAUAGCCUUUAAGACUGCAUCACUUGAACACGGGAGAGGUGAGUGGAAUUCCGAGUGUAGAGGUGAAAUUCGUAGAUAUUCGGAAGAACACCAGUGGCGAAGGCGGCUCACUGGACCGUUGUUGACGCUGAGGUGCGAAAGCGUGGGGAGCAAACA